This 2088-nucleotide long non-coding RNA is filed under the name Marmota monax (woodchuck). The record is from RNAcentral. Lineage: Eukaryota; Metazoa; Chordata; Mammalia; Rodentia; Sciuridae.
ACAGUCUGAAGCACUGCCUCCUGUUUACAUUUUUGGACAAAGAAAGAAAAUGUCACCAGUAUUGGGAGUCGCCCCAGCUCCAAAGACUAACCUCGCCAACCCCUGACAAGAGCCAUCCAAUGGUGAGUCCUGCUGGCUCACAUGAUCCUUACCCACCAAUCAGACUAGCCCUGCUGGCUCACAUGAUCCUUACCCACCAAUCAGAUUAGCCCUGCUGGCUCACAUGAUCCUUACCCACCAAUUGAAAUCACCCCAUGCCAACUAUCAAACCACCCCCGGCUCUAUAAAUAUACAGAGCUAUUCCUCAAUAAAGGAGCAUUUUCUCCCCUGAUGAGCCUUGAUUAUUCUUUCAAUGAGCUACCAAGAAGCCUAGACACAGAAAAGGUGUAGAAACAGUUAGUCCUGGAUGAAUUCUUUUAAAUGGGAGAGUCUGAGGCAUUUCUGAGAUUUUUCAUCAUCUGUGUGGGAGACAAAAAUCACUGAAAAUUUGGUGCUGGAAUGUGACAGACGGCCUGGGUCCCAUGUUUUAUAACUAAGCGUACAACCAUCGCCUAGGCUUUCAGAGAUUUUUGAAAAGCCACAGGGACUUCUAUAUGUGUCACAGCUGAUAUGAAUUGGCCAAUGAUCAUAAAUCAGAGUACUGAGCUUUUAUGCAGAUUUUCCAGAAUGCACUGGCCUUCAAACUUUCCUGAGUUAGCAGAAACUCUUCCCACAUCUUUUAAUCACUCAAAGUGAUAUAGUAAAUUGUGUAAAAAUUUUUUUGUUUGUUCCACUGUUGAGUGACUGAAGGCUUUUAUUUUUUAUAAUCUUUUUAUAUUUUAAGAAAUUAGUUUCUCAAAGCAAACAUUCUCCCUGUAAAACCUCAAGAUCUUAUUUCUUAACCAUACUGAAGAGCUCAAGAGAUUACUAUUUUUUUCCACACGAAAUGUAAAAUAUGCAAUACCUGAUUGUACAAUCCUAUUCAAUUCCAUUCUCUAAGUCUCAUUAAUUACACAUUCUUUACUAGAGAUCAAUCAAUUACUUGAUUGCUUAUCAAUUGCUGUGUAUAUUUGCUAUGAUAUGAACAUUCACAGUAGGAUAACUAAUAAUAAUUUUAAAAGGAUCCAUAUGAUUUGGGUGUCCAGGAGAUUCAUGGUGUUUCCAUGCAACGGAACACGGAACCGGCAAAACAUCACGUCUUAGAAGAACAUUCAUUGAUGUGGAAAAGUCUGUGACGUCCAUUAAGUGAGGACUGUGGGCUUCGGCAUUUGGGUACCGUCUACACCACCUCCCCCCGGGCUAUCAGAGCAGAAAGCUCCAGGCCUUCCACUGUCCUGGGAGCAGGAGCCGGAGGACGCAUUUCGGUUUCUGACAACUUGCACAUUUUCCCCCAGAUUUUCUGAGUUUCUGCAGGGACCACCUGUUACCUCUGUAAGUAGAAUCCCUUUUUAAACGUAAUCGCUCAAAUUAAAAUGAGCUUUUGUAGAGCGUCACUGUCCAAGCCAUCCAGUACUUACUGAACACAAGUCUAGCGCAGGCAGCAGAGAAAGACACUUUGAAAAGACAGCUAUUCCUGUCUUCAAGGAACUUCCAGGCAUAUUUUUGGAAGAAGUGGAUGUAAAAUAUAAAACAUAAAGUGUUAAAAAUCCAUAAAGUUGAGAAGACAAGCCAGGAGCAGGCGGCUGAUAGCUGUGCAGGGUGAGUUGACUGGCGGCCCCUGCUGGGUGGUUCCUCUCCUUCCUGCUGUGUCACUGUGUGUCACUGAGGACCUCCUCCUCCUUGGUGAGUGAUCCCACUCUUGGGUUCAGUCCUGGUGGCAUUUAGCAAGCGCCCUUUCUGGAACCUCCUGGCUCCUUGAGGCUAAGCCGCUUUGGCAACGGCAGGAGCUUUACGUAAACUCUUGUCGUUUCAAUCCUGACCCCUGUCGGAGGCUUUAAUCCAGACACUUUAGUUCUCCUUCUUCCCCUAAUUCCUGAAACCCCGCUAAAGGAUGGCGGAGGAGGGAAGUCAGCCCUUGUCCCCUGGGCCCUUGGCGUGUUUUUCUCAACUACCGAAGAGAAUAACAAUAAAAACAAAACUAAUAAUACAGUUAGGUAGCAGUCACUCGGU